CAGCAGGGUCAGGCUCGGUUCCCUUGUUCUCGGGGGGUCAGACAUUCACAGCCAGGCCUAAGAGCAGCACUCAUUAAUAAAGUAAGAGCAGUGACUAUGGAGCAUUGCUUCAUUCCACAUAGAACACAGGGGCCUUGUGUGUCAUUUCCUCAUUGAACUCUUGCAACAAACCCAGGAGCCGGGUACUGUUCUAUCACUACUGUGCAGAUGAGACAAUCCUGAACAGUUAGGUUGUAUGUGGGAUCUGAACCACAGAGCCUGGCUCCAGAGCUCUUGCAUAUGAUCACUGGGGUCCACUGUCAUUAUCAAGGCCAGACGCCCUUGCAGUCUUUCCCGCAGGGCUGCUGAGAAGGACUCUACAAGCUUCGGGCCCUGCCUGCCUCCACUGUCCAGGGCAAUCAGUGUGGGAACGAGAAGAAGAGAUGGAGAUAGAGGAAGUCUGAGCAGAAAUGGAGCUUCCGGGGCCCUCCCCACCCUCCGGAGCAGGCUGGCAGCAUGACAGGUGACAAAUCAAAAGUCAUUCUCUGCUGAACAGGCAAACCACCCUCACUUUCCACGCCCAAGUUUUCUCUGUCCAUCCCCUGCUGACUCCUGCUGCUGCUGCUGCUGCUAAGUCGCUUCAGUAGUGUCGGACUCAUUGCGACCCCAGAGACAGCAGCCCACCAGGCUCCCCCGUCCCUGGGAUUCUCCAGGCAAGAACACUGGAGUGGGUUGCCAUUUCCUUCUCCAAUGCGUGAAAGUGAAAAGUGAAAGUGAAGUCGUGCCUGACUCUUAGCGACCCCACGGACUGCC
Molecule: long non-coding RNA, 792 nt
Filed under: Bos indicus x Bos taurus (hybrid cattle)
Lineage: Eukaryota; Metazoa; Chordata; Mammalia; Artiodactyla; Bovidae
Description: lncRNA (ENSBIXG00005015629.1)
Source: RNAcentral